GGGCCCGUAGCUCAGCCAGGUAGACGUGAGGCCUAAAGCAUCGGGCUUUUAACCCGAGGGUCGUGGGUUCGAAUCCCACCGGGCCCG
This 87-nucleotide transfer RNA is filed under the name Nitrososphaerota archaeon. RNAcentral's name for it is "Thaumarchaeota archaeon (hot springs metagenome) tRNA-Lys". It matches the Rfam family "tRNA". Rfam says of the family: Transfer RNA (tRNA) molecules are approximately 80 nucleotides in length. Their secondary structure includes four short double-helical elements and three loops (D, anti-codon, and T loops). The record is from RNAcentral. RNAcentral also lists the same sequence under 1 other name. Lineage: Archaea; Thermoproteati; Nitrososphaerota.